Molecule: ribosomal RNA, 468 nt
Filed under: uncultured bacterium
Lineage: Bacteria
Description: partial 16S ribosomal RNA
Rfam family: Bacterial small subunit ribosomal RNA
Source: RNAcentral
GACGAACGCUGGCGGCGUGCUUAACACAUGCAAGUCGAACGGAAAGGCCCUGCUUUUGUGGGGUGCUCGAGUGGCGAACGGGUGAGUAACACGUGAGUAACCUGCCCUUGACUUUGGGAUAACUUCAGGAAACUGGGGCUAAUACCGGAUAGGAGCUCCUGCUGCAUGGUGGGGGUUGGAAAGUUUCGGCGGUUGGGGAUGGACUCGCGGCUUAUCAGCUUGUUGGUGGGGUAGUGGCUUACCAAGGCUUUGACGGGUAGCCGGCCUGAGAGGGUGACCGGCCACAUUGGGACUGAGAUACGGCCCAGACUCCUACGGGAGGCAGCAGUGGGGAAUAUUGCACAAUGGGCGGAAGCCUGAUGCAGCGACGCCGCGUGCGGGAUGACGGCCUUCGGGUUGUAAACCGCUUUCGGCUGUGACGAAGCGUGAGUGACGGUAAUGGGUGAAGAAGCACCGGCUAACUACGUG